CCUACGGGAGGCUGCAGUGGGGAAUAUUGGACAAUGGGGGGAACCCUGAUCCAGCCAUGCCGCGUGUGUGAAGAAGGCCCUCGGGUUGUAAAGCACUUUCAGUGAGGAAGAACGCCUGGUGGUUAAUACCCAUCAGGAAAGACAUCACUCACAGAAGAAGCACCGGCUAACUCCGUGCCAGCAGCCGCGGUAAUACGGAGGGUGCGAGCGUUAAUCGGAAUUACUGGGCGUAAAGCGCGCGUAGGUGGCUUGAUAAGCCGGUUGUGAAAGCCCCGGGCUCAACCUGGGAACGGCAUCCGGAACUGUCAAGCUAGAGUGCAGGAGAGGAAGGUAGAAUUCCCGGUGUAGCGGUGAAAUGCGUAGAGAUCGGGAGGAAUACCAGUGGCGAAGGCGGCCUUCUGGACUGACACUGACACUGAGGUGCGAAAGCGUAGGUAGCAAACAGGAUUAGAUACCCUAGUAGUC
This 465-nucleotide ribosomal RNA is filed under the name Vreelandella stevensii. Its description in RNAcentral is "partial 16S ribosomal RNA". It matches the Rfam family "Bacterial small subunit ribosomal RNA", at positions 338 to 795 of the family's 1533-position model. Lineage: Bacteria; Pseudomonadati; Pseudomonadota; Gammaproteobacteria; Oceanospirillales; Halomonadaceae. The record is from RNAcentral.